RNAcentral lists this ribosomal RNA (305 nucleotides) under uncultured bacterium. RNAcentral's name for it is "bacterial SSU rRNA". It matches the Rfam family "Bacterial small subunit ribosomal RNA", at positions 337 to 639 of the family's 1533-position model. The record is from RNAcentral.
ACCUACGGGGGGCAGCAGUGAGGAAUAUUGGUCAAUGGGCGGAAGCCUGAACCAGCCAAGUCGCGUGAGGGAUUAAGGCCCUAUGGGUCGUAAACCUCUUUUGUCAGGGAGCAAGGUCGUCCACGUGUGGGCGUAUGGAGAGUACCUGAAGAAAAAGCAUCGGCUAACUCCGUGCCAGCAGCCGCGGUAAUACGGAGGAUGCGAGCGUUAUCCGGAUUUAUUGGGUUUAAAGGGUGCGCAGGCGGCACGGCAAGCCGGCGGUCAAAUCGCGGGGCUCAACCCCGCCCAGCCGUCGGAACUGCCGG